AUCAAAUGGGAAACUUGAGGAGCAGGACGUACUGCUGAACUCCAUUAGGAAAAUAGUUGACUGACUACCAGAGCGGCAUAAUCCUAGGACAUCUUUACCUUCCCUGUCUUAGAAGAUUUUCUUCAUGCUGGGUGUAGUUCCUUAACUGCAUCCAUUAAAGACUAAGAUGACUUCCUGGACUAUGGUUUAUGCAACCAAAAAGAAAAAAUACUGUUUACACAGAGAAAAUUAGACCUCAGUGCAUAUAUAUAAUAACAAAAGAUAAUCAAGAAUCUAUUUGGGACAUGAAGGAAGGAAGAUCCAAAAGGAAGUAAAUUCAGGCAGAGUAAUAAGGUCGAAGCUCUCUUAUCUGACUGAGGAAAAGUGCCUCCAGAAGGGAUACAGCUGUUUUAGGCAACUCUCUUACAAUCUCAUCAAAGAGUUAACAUGAACUCACAGGCAAGAGACAUAGGGUUGACAACACAUCAGAGCUCAGGUAAACUUUGUCUCUGGCUACUGCAUAUUCUUCAGACUCAAUCAUGCCCUUUAAAAAUCAUAUUUUUUCUCUAAGAUUGUAUACAGUUUCCACUUCCCUCUCCCCCAGAAAUAAAGUACAUAAGUUCCUAAAUCUCAUUCAGUUAUUGGGCACUCACAUUCACAUGAUGCCCUUAUAUGCAUAAUGAAUUUGGAUUCCUUUUUUGGCGUUAAUCUGUCUAUUGUUAAUUUGUUUCAGCAGAUUCAUUUACUGGAAAACUUCAGAGAGUGGAAAUUUCCUUUACCCUUACAAUAUAUGGUUUUAUGAUAUAUUAUAUAUUUAUAAUUAGAUAUAUGGCAUAAUAAUUAGCUGCAUUAUUUUAGAUGGCAAGAAUAUCAUAAUUAUUACUUGCCAAAAGUCCAGUUUUGAAGAGACUGUUUUCUUGAAUAUUGAUCACAUAUAUCAUGUAUCCAAUUUUUAAUAUUUUUAUUAUCUUGAAGACUAAUACAUUAACCCUUCAUACUCAAAAUACUUUAAAAAUAUUAAACUAUUUAUUCUUUAAACAUUUUAUUUAUUUGAAAAGCAGAGUAACAGAGAGAGAGGGAGAGACGGAGAGUGAGAUCAUCCAUUCAUUGGUUGAAUCAAAUGGCCACUAUAACCAGGGCCAGGGUUGAACCAGGACACAGCCAGGAGCCAGGUACUCCAUCCAAGUCUUUCACAUGAGUGAAGGUUCCAAGUGUUAAUAAAAUAGUACGGUCAUAUCUGGGGCGCCAUUUUAGGAUGUGGCCCCAUGGCUAUUUUGUACAAUAAGCUUUGAUCUUCAGCCCAGACUGGCUUACUAGAAGUCAGGUGACCAAAUGGCCCAACCACAAGCGUCAGUCUAACGGGAUUCACUGCUCCCACUUCUUACUUCUGCAAAGCUAUAUUAGAGCUGUUCUGCUAAUACAGGCUGCUGUUCUCUUGUGCAUCGGGAGGCAGUCUGUCAGAUUUUCCCCAACCAACAGUAAACCUUCUCCCUUACUCCAGUGUUUGGUGUGUUUUGUGAUGGCCUUUCACCAAGUACUCAGACCAUUAUCCACGGUUUACCUACACACAUUAACAAGAAGCUGGAUGGGAAAGGGAGCAGCUGGUACUCAAAUAGUACUUGGAUAGGGGAUGAUGGGAUAACAGCAGCUUAAUCUGCUAUGCUAUAAUGUUGGCACCUGCGACAAUGAUUUUAAAACUAUAGAACUUGGUGAAAAAUAUGUCUCCCUAUAUAGUCAUAAUGUGACAAAAGAAUGCAGAAAGUCUUUGUGAAUUCUUUGUAGUCACCUAUCAUACUAAAAGAUCAAUCCAAAUUCCUCCCAUUCCAUCAUGAUUUCCUUUUCCCUGAAUUUUAUUUAUGAGUCAUUGAUAAAUGAAAAUUGUAUAUAUUUAAGCUAUGCAACACAGUAUUUUGAUAAUAUGUAUAUUGGGAAAUGCUUACCAUUAUCAUGUUAAUUAACAUAUUCAUCCCCUUUUAUAGUUGCUACAUUUUUUUCAGUAGUGAGAAAAUCCAAGAUCUACCUUGCUAGAAAAGUUCAAUUACGCCCUAUGGGAUCAUAAAUCAUACUGUAUUAGCUUUUCAGGAUCUUUCACCAUGCAUAAUGGAAAGUUUGUACCCUUUGAUCAAAAUCUGCCAUUCUCACCCUUCUUCCUAAUAUCCCCUCUCUACCCAAUACCUCUCUCAAUCUACCAUUCUAUUUUCUGAUUUUAAGCAGUUAGUUUUCUUAAAUUGCAAAUACAAAUGAAGACAUGUCUUUUUGUGCCUGGCUUAUUUCAUUUGCCAUGCUGGCAAUGUCCUAUGGCCCAUUAAUGACCACUAUUUUUGUUUUAAUAGUAGAAAUAGGGUGGACAUUUGGAACAGCUGAUUCAACUUUCAACUUGGAAUGCCUAUAUCUAAUAUCAGAAUACAUGCAUCCUGGUUACUCUGCUUCCAAUCCAGCUUCCUCCUAAUGCAUCCUGAGUGGCCAUAGAUGAUGGCUCAAAGACUUGUGGCUCACCUACAUGGGAGAUCCAGAGGGAGUUUUGGACCCCCGGCUUCAGCUUAGCCCAGCCCUGGCUCGUGCAGACAUUUGCGGAGUGAACAGCGGAUGGAAGAUCUCUCUUAACUGGAGGAAUAAUAAAUAUAUAUUCAUUUGUUUUUAUGUAGAGCUUUCUCUUCUUUGAAGAUCUUGUAAACCGUGGGGAAAACUGAAUUUCAGGAUGUAUCCUGAGUAGCAAAAUGGUUCUAAAAUUCAAAAUGGGUCUGAAGAGACCAUUUGCUGAUGA
Non-coding RNA from Oryctolagus cuniculus (rabbit), 2743 nucleotides. The record is from RefSeq and is a predicted model, not a curated record. Lineage: Eukaryota; Metazoa; Chordata; Mammalia; Lagomorpha; Leporidae.